AUUGAACGCUGGCGGCAGGCCUAACACAUGCAAGUCGAGCGGGAGGCGGACGGGUGAGUAAUGUAUGGAGACUGCCCGAUAGAGGGGGCUAACUACUGGAAACGGUGGCUAAUAACGCAUACUAGCGGAUAACCCAUAUGGGAUUAGCUAGUCGGUGGGGUAAAGGCUCACCUAGGCGACGAGCUCUAGCUGGUCUGAGAGGAUGAUCAGCCACACUGGGACUGAGACACGGCCCAGACUCCUACGGGGGCAGCAGUGGGGAAUAUUGCACAAUGGGCGCAAGCCGGAUGCAGCCAUGCCGCGUGUAUGAAGAAGGCCUUAGGGUUGUAAAGUACUUUCAGCGGGGAGGCGUUACCCGCAGAAGAAGCACCGGCUAACUCCGUGCCAGCAGCCGCGGUAAUUC
RNAcentral lists this ribosomal RNA (403 nucleotides) under uncultured bacterium. Its description in RNAcentral is "partial 16S ribosomal RNA". It matches the Rfam family "Bacterial small subunit ribosomal RNA", at positions 30 to 526 of the family's 1533-position model. The record is from RNAcentral.